RNAcentral lists this ribosomal RNA (253 nucleotides) under uncultured bacterium. Its description in RNAcentral is "partial 16S ribosomal RNA". It matches the Rfam family "Bacterial small subunit ribosomal RNA", at positions 524 to 776 of the family's 1533-position model. The record is from RNAcentral.
UACGUAGGGACCAAGCGUUGUUCGGAUUUACUGGGCGUAAAGGGCGCGUAGGCGGCGCGGUAAGUCCGCUGUGAAAGUCGGGGGCUCAACCCUCGAAUGCCGGUGGAUACUGUCGGGCUAGAGUGCGGAAGAGGCGAGUGGAAUUCCUGGUGUAGCGGUGAAAUGCGCAGAUAUCAGGAGGAACACCAAUUGCGAAGGCAGCUCGCUGGGACGUAACUGACGCUGAGACGCGAAAGCGUGGGGAGCAAACAGG